UACGGAAGGCAGCAGUGGGGAAUAUUGCACAAUGGGCGCAAGCCUGAUGCAGCCAUGCCGCGUGUAUGAAGAAGGCCUUCGGGUUGUAAAGUACUUUCAGUCGUGAGGAAGGUGUUAAGGUUAAUAACCUUAGCAAUUGACGUUAGCGACAGAAGAAGCACCGGCUAACUCCGUGCCAGCAGCCGCGGUAAUACGGAGGGUGCGAGCGUUAAUCGGAAUUACUGGGCGUAAAGGGCACGCAGGCGGUUAAUUAAGUUGGAUGUGAAAUCCCCGGGCUUAACCUGGGAAUGGCAUUCAAGACUGGUUAGCUAGAGUCUUGUAGAGGGGGUUAGAAUUCCAUGUGUAGCGGUGAAAUGCGUAGAGAUGUGGAGGAAUACCGGUGGCGAAGGCGGCCCCUGGACAAGACUGACGCUCAUGUGCGAAAGCUGGGGAGCAAC
RNAcentral lists this ribosomal RNA (437 nucleotides) under uncultured bacterium. RNAcentral's name for it is "bacterial SSU rRNA". It matches the Rfam family "Bacterial small subunit ribosomal RNA", at positions 340 to 772 of the family's 1533-position model. The record is from RNAcentral.